GGGGAAGCUGAGAUCUCAUGUGCUGCAGCUUGCUGUGAAUGGGGAACUGGCUGCUAGAAGGGGGUGGCACUGUGAAUGGGGAACAAGUAUGCCCAAGGAGUAGAAGGCUUUGGCCUAGAUAUCACCCUCAGAAGACUUCCUCAGACUGUCUUAGGGAUGCUCGCUUGGCAGCCCCCAAAGAAGGAACUGGGUGGAAUGAAUGAACGGUGCACCUCUCUAUCUGAAGCCUAGCAGGGGAGAUUAUCUGUGGACGACUUGAGAAUACAGAAAUAUCUGCUGUCGGCUUCUAACCUCGGAGCGCCUCAGAUUCCAGAAGCUAGGAGGAAACCUGCAGAGAAUAUGUUUUAUACCAUUUGGAAGCUGAGAACACAAGCUGUCAGACGUCACCCAUCCUUAGUUUCAGAUGUCGAGCGCAGCCAUUAAAAUCAGACUGGAGUUGGAACAUGCAGCAGAAUGCAAGAUGGUAAUCAGAAUGAUGUGAUUUCAAGGUCCAACAUGGCAUAAACCAGUGGGGUUAGAAAAAGCAAGUGGAUUAGUUUCUAGCUGUAGAAGAUACUGUAUCUGAGAAGAGUCAUUAAUCUAGGCAAAACUUGUGGCCAUUUACCAGACAAGCCAAGAGACCUUAAGAUUCCCAAGCCCCCAACUGCUGCCACCUGCAUUAAUACUCUGGAGUAAUGAUCAAUCCAAAGCUCCUUGGAAUCAAUAGAAAGCUGCUUACUGAUUUCAAUGGCCUUUGCAUGAUCUCUUUUGUGCCCAGACAGAAGGAAUCUGAAGGCAGCCAUGCAGGUCUCGGCCACAGCAAAGAAGGAGCCAAGUCAGAUGCUGACAAAGCGACGGACAAAAAGAAAUGGCAAGGAAUGAAGUGUUUUUUCUGAACAUCUCAAUGGACUGGAAGCAAUGGAGGGGGAAAAGCAAACGGAAACAGAUGGGGGGGGGGAAGCGCUCAUCACUGUCCCCUUCCAUCACCAUCUGGCUCCGCAAAGGAAGUGAGGCUCAUGAAAUCUCUUGCCAAACGUGCGCAGGGCUAGAGUCUCAUCCCCCCCAGUGCUGGGAGGCCAAAGCUGGGGAAAGGUCAGGACUCAUGUGAUCUGUUCAGACACUUCCAGGGCCUCCAGCAGCUCACACGUAGUAAUGAACUCACCCUCAUCAUACCUCUGUGAAUUACUGUGCCCCCAUUUUAUAGAGGAGAACUGAGGCCCAGAGAGUUCACGGGACUUGCUACACUUCACGCUCUGGCUAUGAGACACAUAGCUGAGGCCACUGGGCCAGAGCUGGCUGUCAGGAACCCCAGGGUGAAGCCUGCAGUGGUGCUGGGGUACCUGGGAAUGGGAUCUGGCCUGGUUCAGCUCUUCCUCAGUUCUCCCAGCCGGGGCUGGUGUGACGUUGCACCCCAUAAUGCUUUACGGAAAUAUGCUUAUGCAUGUAUAUAUGACAUAACUGGAAUAUGUUUUAUGCUACAUAUGCCAUAUAACAUAUCUCUGUAAAGGUUAUGAUCUACUGAGUAUAUUCAUCCUAUUUGUAUGCAUGUAUCAUUUUUGUAUUCAAAGUUAUGAAUAUUGGCUGUGUACUUGUUUGAUUUUAAGUAGCCUUAGUAAGGCAUUUGGUCAGAUUCUCAAGAAAGGAAUUUGCAAAUUAAGUGCCCAAUCAAGAAACACUUAACAGACAAUGGAACCUUGGAAGACUCCAAUUCACAUAAGAAGUCUACCUGGGGACAUUCAAGUUAGCAUGUGAACAAUGGUUGCCACCUGUAAAGUUCUGAGUCAUGCAUGGACAUGUGACUUGCCCAUGUGACUCCAAAACUCCAGCUUGCAGCUGGAUUCUGCAUAGGAGAGAGGAGGGGGUGUCUUCCCACAAGAGAAAGUCUAUUUAAGCCCUUGGGAGACUCCUCCAUUUUGUCUUCAGCUGGCUCAAGAGGUAGCCUCUCCACCCCUAAAGGAUAGCUGAAAGAAACUGGAACAAAGGACAGUAACCACAGGGGUGUGAGUGAUUGGUGGACCCAGAAUAGAAGGAGACUAGUCUGUAAAAGAAGCUUACUGGAAUAUCUCUGAGGAUGAGAUUUCAUCUGUAAUCAUUUUCUUACUGUACUAGGCUUAGACUUGCAUGUUUUGUUUUAUUUUGCUUGGUAAUUCACUUUGUUCUGUCUGUUAUUACUCGGAACCACUUAAAUCCUACUUUUUGCAUUUAAUAAAAUCACUUUUUACUUAUUAAUU
Molecule: long non-coding RNA, 2210 nt
Organism: Dermochelys coriacea (leatherback sea turtle)
Lineage: Eukaryota; Metazoa; Chordata; Testudines; Dermochelyidae
Exons: 3
Source: RefSeq, a predicted model, not a curated record